AGUCGUAACAAGGUUUCCGUAGGUGAACCUGCGGAAGGAUCAUUACCGAGUGAGGGCCCUCUGGGUCCAACCUCCCACCCGUGUUUAUUAUACCUUGUUGCUUUGGCGGGCCCGCCUCACGGCCGCCGGGGGGCUUUUGCCCCCGGGCCCGUGCCCGCCGAAGACACCUAGAACUCUGUCUGAAGAUUGUCGUCUGAGUAUAAAUAUAAAUUAUUUAAAACUUUCAACAACGGAUCUCUUGGUUCCGGCAUCGAUGAAGAACGCAGCGAAAUGCGAUACGUAAUGUGAAUUGCAGAAUUCAGUGAAUCAUCGAGUCUUUGAACGCACAUUGCGCCCUCUGGUAUUCCGGAGGGCAUGCCUGUCCGAGCGUCAUUGCUGCCCUCAAGCACGGCUUGUGUGUUGGGCCCCGUCCUCCGCUCCCGGGGGACGGGCCCGAAAGGCAGCGGCGGCACCGAGUCCGGUCCUCGAGCGUAUGGGGCUUUGUCACCCGCUCUGUAGGCCCGGCCGGCGCUUGCCGAUCAACCAAAUUUUUUCCAGGUUGACCUCGGAUCAGGUAGGGAUACCCGCUGAACUUAAGCAUAUCAUUAA
Molecule: ribosomal RNA, 588 nt
Filed under: Penicillium sp. HT002-R1-1A
Lineage: Eukaryota; Fungi; Ascomycota; Eurotiomycetes; Eurotiales; Aspergillaceae
Description: eukaryotic LSU rRNA
Rfam family: 5.8S ribosomal RNA (bases 219-372)
Source: RNAcentral